Molecule: ribosomal RNA, 496 nt
Filed under: uncultured bacterium
Lineage: Bacteria
Description: partial 16S ribosomal RNA
Rfam family: Bacterial small subunit ribosomal RNA
Source: RNAcentral
GAUGAACGCUGGCGGCGUGCCUAAUACAUGCAAGUCGAGCGAACAGAUGAGGAGCUUGCUCCUCUGACGUUAGCGGCGGACGGGUGAGUAACACGUGGAUAACCUACCUAUAAGACUGGGAUAACUUCGGGAAACCGGAGCUAAUACCGGAUAAUAUAUUGAACCGCAUGGUUCAAUAGUGAAAGACGGUUUUGCUGUCACUUAUAGAUGGAUCCGCGCCGCAUUAGCUAGUUGGUAAGGUAACGGCUUACCAAGGCGACGAUGCGUAGCCGACCUGAGAGGGUGAUCGGCCACACUGGAACUGAGACACGGUCCAGACUCCUACGGGAGGCAGCAGUAGGGAAUCUUCCGCAAUGGGCGAAAGCCUGACGGAGCAACGCCGCGUGAGUGAUGAAGGUCUUCGGAUCGUAAAACUCUGUUAUUAGGGAAGAACAAACGUGUAAGUAACUAUGCACGUCUUGACGGUACCUAAUCAGAAAGCCACGGCUAACUACGU